UUUCCACAGAAAUGUUCUAUUUAUAAGACUAAAUUAGGUAUGUAAUUUUAUCGUUUUAUCUCUGUUUAUAUACAGUCACAUUAUACACAGACAUCCACACAAACACCAUCAUACUUUAACUGUGUAGUAGGAUUUUUUUUUAUACUUUUUUAUUUUAUUUUGAUCAACUUUCGUUUCAGUUGUUUUAUGAGAUAUGUUAGAACACGUUGAAUGUCUUACUAAUUAUGCCUAUUUCAACUAUGUUUUUAUUGUGUGCUUCGAUUUUUGUGGAGUUUUGUCUUUAUUGUUUCCGCGUAAUGCGUUGUUGGGGACAUAGAAAUAUUGGGCGUCCUUAAAUACCGUCCUUCCGUCCACACGUCUGUCCGUCCGGUCUUGUUUAAUAGCGCGCUCUUACAAUAAUAUCUACAAUUCUUGCCAAAUUUUUUUAUAAAACUUAUAACAUAGGUUUACAUCAACAAUGUAUUCGACUAUAUAGUUCGAUAAGCAGUUCUGAUCAUGUAUUUAUAAAAGAGAUAGAAUGUAUAUAAGCCAUUUAGAAUCAUUAAUUGGAACAUCGCAUUGUCAGCGCAAUCAUUUGUACAAUUUGUGACAGAAUUUUAUAAAACUUAUACAAUAGGUUGUAUUAUUAAAAUCUAAUACGAGUGCGAAAAGCAAUGCCAAUCAAUAUUUUUUAAUAGACGUGUUACGAAAAUGUAUAUACUCGACGCUGAGGUUGACAAAUUAGACUUUAAAUGCCGGUAUCGGAUCAAAGCAAACAAGUUAUUUAAAGAUUUUAAUUACCUGUGUACCAAUUGAAUCAUUGUGUUAAACUGCAUAGUAAUGAUGUCCGCUUAUAUUUUCUUCAAUAACAAACGUCUUUUUAAAAAACUUUAUCACAGCUAAUUUCCUGUUGAAUAUUCCUUAAGGAACAAAUAUGAUACAAUAAUUCUUCCGUGAAGAAUUACAAAUGAUAUACCCUUAACUUAAAAAAAGAGGGGGGGGGGGCUAUAUAUUUUUUUAUUAACCUAGGAACAGUGUAUCCAAUUUCACUUUAUAUGGAAUACAUUUCCUUGGAUUGUUUUGACUAGUAUAUACUACUCUGUUUGAUACCUACUAAGAAAAAGAUUGAUUUCUUUUAUAUUAUUUUCAUGUAAAAUGUGACCGGUUUGACCCAACAACACCUUAUAUAUAUUCCUGCAAAGUUUCGAAAUAUUCCGCUUUGUAGUUUUCUGAGGUACGAAUUAUGCCCCAUGGGAAAAAAAUCAUAACGGAAAAUUGCACUACAUUUUCUUUGAAGCAUUCAACUAUUUAAGAUUAUUAUAGAAAAGUUUUUACAAGGACAAUAACCGAAAAAAAAGUUUUUUUGUAAUUGUCCUUGUACCUUAACAGAUAAGAAAAACCGUUCAACGCGGAGGACAUGUUAUGUAUGCCAUUUUCUGAAUAUUAGCCUGUAAAAAUAUAUAAUGAUAUUGAAUUUAAAUGAAACUUGAACUUUAUACUAAUAUUAAAGGCCUUAAAGAUAAAUUAAAUUAUAACCUUUAAAGUAUGCGAGACAUUUCACCAUAUAUUAGAUAAAAUUGAGAAUGGAAAUGGGGAAUGUGUCAAAGAGACAACAACCCGACCAUAGAAAAAAACACAACAGUAUUCAUGUAAGUACAUGCAAUCUAUUUUAGGAUUAUGGCCACCAAUUGGGGUAUUUGUGGUAUUUGUGAAAACCUUCAGAUUACCAAACCUUCAGUAGUAUGGUGUUCCGAAUGUGACGAAGGACUAUGUGGAGAGUUGUAAGAAACAUCAUGCAGGUUUCCAAGGCAUCAAAAAACCAUGAAACCGUUUCUAUCGCCAAAUACAAAAACUUACCCACCGAAGUCCUGCAAAUCUCUCAGACCUGCAAACUUCAUAAUGAGAAAUACGAGCUGUUUUGUGCAAAACACGAUUGUCCUUGCUGUAAGAAAUGUGUGAAAUCUCACAACGAUUGUAAAGGUUUAACUGACAUAAAUGAACUCAUAAAAAACGUAAAAACUUCAAACGCAUUUAAUGAAAUCGAACAAACCCUGCAGGAAGUCGUCGAGAAUAUUAAACGACUAAGCACAAACAGGAAUGAAAAUUUAAAAUCUAUAGAAAACAAGAAAAGAGAAAUUGAAGCAGCAAUAAAACAAACCAGGAUAAACGUUAAUCAUCACCUUGAUAAACUUCAGGAUGACUUGAUUAAAGAACUAAUGACAGUUGAACAAAGAGAAAAAAGCAAAAUAGAAAAAUUGUUAACUUCUCUAAAAAAGAAGGAAAAAGAGAUCGCUGAAGUACAAGAAAAUUUUGCCAGUAUUAAACAUCAUGCGUCAGAACUUCAAACAUUUUUAACAAUGAAAGAUAUCGAAAAAGAUAUUAUAGGCGAAGAAAAAUUUAUCAAAUCAAUUGCCACAAGUGACUCCACAAAUCAAGUUAAUAUUUCAUGUAGGAUUAAACAAGUCUUUGCAACAAAUCAACAGCCAGCGUGCAGAAGUUUGGGGAAAUAUAUGUUUGUUCUGAUCCAUGUGAUUUUUCGAUUCACAAACGGAAGGACAGACAAGCCCAGAUUAUGGUCACUCUUCCAACCAGAGAUAUCGAUAACCUGACUCUGACAUUACAGAAACGUAUCAAGACAAAGUUGUCAGAUGUCUCUGGUUGUUCAUUGCUUCCUGGUGAUCGGAUGGUAUUCUCCUCUGAUAUGACAAUAAAUUAACAGUACUAAAGUCUGACGGAUCAAAAGAUUUUGAGAUAAAGAACAUUGGUGUAACGUUUGAUGUGGUAUUUAUUGGUGAUGAUUCUAUUGCUGUAACUUCCGGCAUUUCAAAUCAGAUUAAUAUAAUCGACUUAAAGAAGAAAUCAAAGACGAAAUCAAUAAAAGUUGAUUCAUAUAAUGGUGGAGUAGCAUACAAAGAUGGAUAUUUAAUAUAUUGUGCCAGAGAGAAAGGAAUACAGAUGAUCAGUCUGAAUGACGAAACAAUUACCAAUGUUAACAAUACCAAACUUUCAGGUCUUGCGUACGUUACAACAUUCGGUGACAAAUUGUUCUACACAAAUUCAAUGACAGCGUAACCUGCUGUGAUUACCAUGGUCACAUACUGUGGACGUUCUGUGAUAAAAGUGUUGUGAACUCUCCACGCGGUAUCUCUGUAGACAAUGAUGGAAACGUGUAUGUAGUGGGAGGAUAUACUAGCAAUGUGGUUGUUAUCUCUGCUGAUGGACAACACUACAGACAACUCUUAUCAAGUGAAGAUGGACUGAGCUUCCCAUGGGCUCUGCAUUAUGACACGUCUACCAAUGAAUUGUUAGUUGCAAAUCCAUCCAAUGAAGCCUUUCUGUAUGAUGUUAAAUAAUAAGACAUGAAGGGUGACUUUUUCAACCUUAUUCAACAUUUUCUUGAUCUCGAUUACAAAUAUUAUUUUAAUUGAAUUAUAUAAUUUUUUUGUGAUCUAAUUAAGAUCUGUUUAAAAUUAAUUUAUAGCGUUAUUAACUGACAAUUUCUGUAUUGGCCCUGUUAUAGAUUUGAGAUUAGCUGUAUUGGACCCGAGACUCGACGACAUCUUAUCGAGAUUAUACAGAAAAAUUAAACUUCUAAGGAUUCAUUAUUAUUCGUGGGGUACAAGUUUUAGUGGAUUUCGUUGGUAUAGAUAUACCACAAAUUACAGUUAUGAGGCAGCAAUUCAUCUGCAAAAUAGAUUUAAGGACAGUUCCAUAUGAAUAAUAGUAAAAUGUCUGUCAUACGUUUUCGAGACAGCAACUCAUCGAAAAAAAAGUAUUAUGACAGUUCCGUAUAAAUAAAAGGAGAUAUCAGAGAACAUCCCGACUUAAUAUCAAAGACAGUUUAAUUUGAAGAUGUCUGUUAAAAAGUUCAGUAUAAAUAAGCAAGGAAAUGCGUUACACGUAAACGAGACAACAACAUAAUGACAAAAUUAACAUAACAACUUUCAAUUUAAGUAAAGAAGAUGUUGGUAUUACGUACAUGAGGCAGUUAGGCAAUGUCACAAUAAUUAGAAUAAUCAAUUCGCUUCAAAUACGUUAUAUGAUUAUCAAUAAGGAUAUUCGGUCAUGAUUAUCAAUACGGAGCUUUUGUCAUGAUUAUCAAUAAGGAGAUCCGGACAUGAUAGUCAAUAAGGAGAUCCGGACAUGAUAGUCAAUAAGGAGAUUCGGGAUGAUUAUCAAUAAGGAGAUUUGGACAUGAUUGUCAAUAAGGAGAUUUGUUCAUGAUUGUCAAUAAGGAGAUUCGGUCCCGACUGUCAAUAAGGAGAUUCGGAAUGAUAAUCAAUAAUGACAUUUAGACAUAUUUGUCAAUAAGGAGAUUUGGACAUGCUUGUCAAUAAGGAGAUUCGGUCCCGACUGUCAAUAAGGAGAUUCGGGAUGAUUAUCAAUAAGGAGAUUUGGACAUGAUUGUCAAUAAGGAAAUUCGGUCAUGUUUGUCAAUAGGGAAAUUCGGUCCGGAUUGGCAAUAAGAAGAUUCGAUCCCGAUUCUCAAUAAGGAAGAUAAAGAAAAUGUUGGUUUUACGUAUAUGAAUAUGUUCAGACAGUGUGAAAAUAAGAAAAAAAAUCAAUACGCAUUAAAUAAGUUGAUGAUUAUCAAUAAGGAGAUUCGGACAUGAUUGUUGAUAACACAGGGAUAAGGAAAUUUGGUCAUGAUUAUUAAUAAGGAAAUUUGGACAUGAUUGUGAAUAAUGAGGUCGGUCAUGAUUGUCAACUACGAAAUUCGGUCAUGAUUUACAAUAAAGAGAUUCGGACAUAAUUGUCAAUAAGGAAAUUCGGUCAUGGUUAUCAAUAAGGAGAUUUGGACAUUAUUGUCAAUAAGGCGAUUAUGUCAUGAUUGUCAAUAAGGAGAUUCGGCCCUGAUUGUCAUUAAGGAGAUUCGGGAUGAUUAUCAAUAAGGACAUUUGGACAUGAUUGUCAAUAAGGAGAUUUGGACAUGAUUGUCAAUAAGGAGGUCGGCCAUGAGUGUCAAUAAGGAGAUUUGGGAUGAUUAUCAAUAAGGAGAUUAAGACAUGAUUGUCAAUAAGGAGAUUUGGACAUGAUUGUCACUAAGGAGAUUAUGUCUUGAUUGUCCAUAGGGAAAUUCGGUCUUGAUUGUCUAAAAGGAGAUUUGGAUAGAAUUGUCAAAAAGAAGAGUCGGUCAUGAUUGUCAAUAAGGAGAUUCAGGAUUAUUAUCAAUAAGGAGAUUUGAACAUGAUUGUCAAUAAGGAGGUCGGUCAUGAAUGUUUAUUAGGAAAUUCGGUCAUGAUUUUCAAUAAAGAGAUUCGGUCAUGGUUAUCUAUAAGGAGAUUUACGCAAGAUUGUCAAUAAGGAGAUUAGGUCCUGAUUGUCAAUAUGAAAAUUCGGUCCUGAUUGUCAAUAAGGAGAUUCGGAAUGAUUAUCAAUAAGGACAUUUGGACAUGAUUGUCAAUAAGGAGAUUUGGACAUGAUUGUCAAUAAGGAGGUUAGUCAUGAUUGUUAAUAAGUAAAUUCGGUCAUGGUUAUCAAUAUUGAGAUUUGGACAUGAUUGUCACUAAGGAGAUUAUGUAAUGAUUGUCCAUAGGGAAAUUCGGUCCUGGUUGUCUAAAAGGAGAUUUGGAUAGAAUUGUCAAUAAGAAGAUUGUUAAUCGGUCAUGAUUGUCAAUAAGGAGAUUCGGGAUUAUUAUCAAUAAGGAGAUUUGGACAUGAUUGUCAAUAAGGAGGUCGGUCAUGAAUGUUUAUUAGGAAAUUCGGUCAUGAUUUUCAAUAAAGAGAUUCGGUCAUGGUUAUCUAUAAGGAGAUUUACGCAAGAUUGUCAAUAAGGAGAUUAGGUCCUGAUUGUCAAUAUGGAAAUUUGGUCCUUAGUGUCAAAAAGGAGAUUUUGAUAUGAUUGUCAAUAAAGAGAGUCGGUCCCGAUUUUCAAUAAGGAGAUUCGGUCCCGAUUGUCAAUAAGGAGAUUCGGAAUGAUUAUCAUUAAGGACAUUUGGUCAUGAUUGUCAAUAAUGAGAAAAAAGUAAAAUCACAAAAAUACUGAACUCAGAGGAAAAUCAAUUUGGAAAGUCCAUAAUCACAUGGCAAAAUCAAAUAACAAAACGCAUCAAAAACGAAUGGACAAGAACUGUCAUAUUCCUGACUUGGUACAGGCAUUUUCAAAUGUAGAAAAUGGUGGAUUGAACCUGGUUUUAUAGCUAGCUAAACCUCUCACUUGUAUAACAGUCGCAUCAAAUUCCAUUAUGCGGUCCCGAUUGUCCAUUAGGAGAUGCGGAUAUCAUUGUCA
This 6208-nucleotide long non-coding RNA is filed under the name Mytilus galloprovincialis (Mediterranean mussel). The record is from RNAcentral. Lineage: Eukaryota; Metazoa; Mollusca; Bivalvia; Mytilida; Mytilidae.